This 468-nucleotide ribosomal RNA is filed under the name uncultured bacterium. Its description in RNAcentral is "partial 16S ribosomal RNA". It matches the Rfam family "Bacterial small subunit ribosomal RNA", at positions 28 to 507 of the family's 1533-position model. The record is from RNAcentral.
GACGAACGCUGGCGGUGUGCUUAACACAUGCAAGUCGAACGGAAAGGCCCUGCUUUUGUGGGGUGCUCGAGUGGCGAACGGGUGAGUAACACGUGAGUAACCUGCCCUUGACUUUGGGAUAACUUCAGGAAACUGGGGCUAAUACCGGAUAGGAGCUCCUGCUGCAUGGUGGGGGUUGGAAAGUUUCGGCGGUUGGGGAUGGACUCGCGGCUUAUCAGCUUGCUGGUGGGGUAGUGGCUUACCAAGGCUUUGACGGGUAGCCGGCCUGAGAGGGUGACCGGCCACAUUGGGACUGAGAUACGGCCCAGACUCCUACGGGAGGCAGCAGUGGGGAAUAUUGCACAAUGGGCGGAAGCCUGAUGCAGCAACGCCGCGUGCGGGAUGACGGCCUUCGGGUUGUAAACCGCUUUCGCCUGUGACGAAGCGUGAGUGACGGUAAUGGGUAAAGAAGCACCGGCUAACUACGUG